GCUUUUGAAAAAAACGUAUAAGAAUUAAAGUGAUAAUGAAAAAUGCUUACAGAAAGAAAAAAAGGGGAAAAUGUUUUUGUUGAUUUUAUUUGAUUGGAGAGACAAGUCUCAUGCCUACGUACCCGAGGGAUCAAACCACCGUAGUUCGGGGUAAAAGUCGAUUUGUUUGUUGGUUUGUUUUUUAUGGUUUUGAAAAAGGUUUUAAAGAUGAAAAAGCCAAAGUGGCAUAAAAUGUGAGGUUGGUUAAUUUUAGUUUUGGUGAAAGAAAGUCUAAAUGAUUAGGAUUGAUUGAUGUUUGAUUUAGAAAAAAGACGCGCUUGCUUGGUUUGAAGUCCAAGGUUUAUUGUGAAAAUGGUUUGAAUGAUAAGAGUCUCUUGGUUUGAAGUCCAAGGUUUUUAGGAAAAGAGUGUGAUGAAACCACUUGGUUUAAAAUCCAAGAGUUCAAGAAAAGAAAAGAAGUUUGAUUGAUUGAGUUUGAAAAUGCAACUUUGGUUUGAAAUCCAAGUGCUUUUGUAUUGAAAAUGUUUGAUGACAAAAAGAUUUUUUUGGUGUUUUUGGAAAAGGUUUUGAAAAAAAAAGCAAAUGUUUUUGUGGCUUUUGAAAGGUUGAUGUUUGAAAGAAAAAUGUUUUUUGGUUUUGAAGAGGUUUUGACCUCAAUUUUGAAGAAGAGUGAAAAAAGUUUUUGCGCAUCAAAAAGAGGUUUUGACCUCAAAUUUUAAAAAAACGCGAUUGAUUGAUUUUAACGCGACGAUCUAAUUACGCGCGAUGAACCUCAUAAUGACG
RNAcentral lists this long non-coding RNA (783 nucleotides) under Trifolium pratense (red clover). RNAcentral describes it as "long non-coding RNA (TPRA_LNC008908)". The record is from RNAcentral. Lineage: Eukaryota; Viridiplantae; Streptophyta; Magnoliopsida; Fabales; Fabaceae.